This 465-nucleotide ribosomal RNA is filed under the name uncultured bacterium. Its description in RNAcentral is "partial 16S ribosomal RNA". It matches the Rfam family "Bacterial small subunit ribosomal RNA", at positions 28 to 507 of the family's 1533-position model. The record is from RNAcentral.
GACGAACGCUGGCGGCGUGCUUAACACAUGCAAGUCGAACGGAAAGGCCCUGCUUGCAGGGUACUCGAGUGGCGAACGGGUGAGUAACACGUGGGUGAUCUGCCCUGCACUUCGGGAUAAGCCCGGGUAACUGGGUCUAAUACCGGAUAGGAGCCAUUUUUAGUGUGAUGGUUGGAAAGUUUUUUCGGUGUAGGAUGAGCUCGCGUCCUAUCCGCUUGGUGGUGGGGUAAUGGCCUACCAAGGCGGCGACGGGUAGCAGGCGUGGGAGGGUGGACGGCCACAUUGAGACUGAGAUACGGCCCAGACUCCUACGGGAGGCAGCAGUGGGGAAGAGUGAACAAUGGGAACAAGCCUGAUGCAGCGACGCCGCGUGGGGGAGGACGGCCUUCGGGUUGUAAACGCCUUACGCUAGGGACGAAGCUGUUUGUGACGGUACCUAGAGAAGAAGCACCGGCUAACUACGUG